UACGUAGGUGGCUAGCGUUGUCCGGAUUUACUGGGCGUAAAGCGCGUGUAGGCGGCCAUCUAAGUCGGGCGUGAAAUCCCACGGCUCAACCGUGGAAGUGCACUCGAAACUGGAUGGCUAGAGUCCUGGAGAGGAAGGUGGAAUGCUUGGUGUAGAGGUGAAAUUCGUAGAUAUCAAGCGGAACACCGGUGGCGAAGGCGGCCUUCUGGACAGUGACUGACGCUGAGACGCGAAAGCGUGGGGAGCAAACAGG
RNAcentral lists this ribosomal RNA (253 nucleotides) under uncultured bacterium. Its description in RNAcentral is "partial 16S ribosomal RNA". It matches the Rfam family "Bacterial small subunit ribosomal RNA", at positions 524 to 776 of the family's 1533-position model. The record is from RNAcentral.